AGCUAUUGCUAUCGGGAUCCGAUUCAGGCAUGCUAGUCGUACGAGUUCAGACUCGUGGCGUAUAGCUCAGUAACACGUGGUCAAACCACCCUCUGGACCGGGAUACCCUCGGGAAACUGAGGUUAAUCCUGGAUACCGCUUUCACGUUGGAAAAACGGAAAGCUGGAAACGGUCUGCCGCCGGGGGACGUGACUGCGGCCGAUUAGGUAGACGGUGGGGUAACGGCCCACCGUGCCAAUAAUCGGUACGGGUUGUGAGAGCAAGAGCCCGGAGACGGAAUCUGAGACAAGAUUCCGGGCCCUACGGGGCGCAGCAGCCGCGAAACCUUUACACUGCACGACAGUGCGAUAAGGGGAUCCCGAGUGCGAGGGCAUACAGUCCUCGCUUUUCGUGACCGUAAGGUGGUCACAGAAUAAGGGCUGGGCAAGACCGGUGCCAGCCGCCGCGGUAAUACCGGCAGCCCGAGUGAUAGCCAAUUCUAUUGGGCCUAAAGCGUCCGUAGCCGGCCGAACGGGUCCGUCGGGAAAUCCACCCGCUUAACGGGUGGGCGUCCGGCGGAAACCAGUCGGCUUGGGGCCGGGAGACCAGAGGGGUACGUCCGGGGUAGGAGUGAAAUCCCGUAAUCCUGGACGGGCCACCGGUUGCGAAAGCGCCUCUGGAGAACGGACCCGACGGUGAGGGACGAAAGCUAGGGUCUCGAACCGGAUUAGAUACCCGGGUAGUCCUAGCCGUAAACGAUGCUCGCUAGGUGUGACGCAGGCUACGAGCCUGCGUUGCGCCGUAGGGAAGCCGAGAAGCGAGCCGCCUGGGAAGUACGUCCGCAAGGAUGAAACUUAAAGGAAUUGGCGGGGGAGCACUACAACCGGAGGAGCCUGCGGUUC
This 881-nucleotide ribosomal RNA is filed under the name uncultured euryarchaeote. Its description in RNAcentral is "bacterial SSU rRNA". It matches the Rfam family "Archaeal small subunit ribosomal RNA", at positions 21 to 903 of the family's 1478-position model. Lineage: Archaea; Methanobacteriati; Methanobacteriota. The record is from RNAcentral.